RNAcentral lists this ribosomal RNA (739 nucleotides) under uncultured bacterium. Its description in RNAcentral is "bacterial SSU rRNA". It matches the Rfam family "Bacterial small subunit ribosomal RNA", at positions 185 to 942 of the family's 1533-position model. The record is from RNAcentral.
UAAUUAAUUUAACUGAAGAAAGAUUUAUCGCUUUGAGAUGGGCUUGCGUCCUAUCAGGUAGUUGGUAAGGUAAUUGCUUACCAAGCCUAAGACGGGUAGCUGGAGUGAGAGCUUGACCAGCCAGAGGGGGACUGAGACACGGCCCCCACUCCUACGGGAGGCAGCAGCAGGGAAUCUUGCACAAUGGGCGAAAGCCUGAUGCAGCGACGCCGCGUGAGGGAUGAAGGUUCUAGGAUCGUAAACCUCUUUUCUUAGGGAAUAGUUUGGAAGGUACCUAAGGAAUAAGUCACGGCUAACUACGUGCCAGCAGCCGCGGUAAUACGUAGGUGGCAAAUGUUGUCCGGAAUCAUUGGGCGUAAAGGGUCCGUAGGUGGCAUGAAUAGUCUUAUGUGAAAUCUCUUGGCUCAACCAAGAAACGCCAUAAGAAACUUUCAUGCUAGAGAUCAUCAGAGGGAGGUAGAAUUCCAGGUGUAGUGGUGAAAUGCGUAGAUAUCUGGAGGAAUACCAAUGGCGAAAGCAGCCUCCUGGGGUGAAUCUGACAUUGAGGGACGAAAGCGUGGGUAGCAAACCGGAUUAGAUACCCGGGUAGUCCAUGCCGUAAACGAUGAAUACUGGGUCUUCGGGGAAUCGACCCCCUGUGGACCGAAGCUAACGCGUUAAGUAUUCCGCCUGGGGAGUACGGUCGCAAGACUAAAACUCAAAGGAAUUGACGGGGGCCCGCACAAGCAGCGGAGCGUGU